UACGGGGGGAGCAAGCGUUGUUCGGAAUUACUGGGCGUAAAGAGUGUGUAGGCGGUGUUCCCAGUCUGUUGUGAAAUCUCCCGGCUUAACUGGGAGGGUGCAGCGGAAACUAGAAUGCUAGAGGGUGGGAGAGGUAAGCGGAAUUCCUGGUGUAGCGGUGAAAUGCGUAGAUAUCAGGAGGAACACCGGUGGCGAAGGCGGUCUGCUGGGGUAAUGCUGACACUGAUGCGCGACAGCGUGGGGAGCAAACAGG
Molecule: ribosomal RNA, 253 nt
Filed under: uncultured bacterium
Lineage: Bacteria
Description: partial 16S ribosomal RNA
Rfam family: Bacterial small subunit ribosomal RNA
Source: RNAcentral